This 329-nucleotide unclassified non-coding RNA is filed under the name Coprinopsis urticicola. RNAcentral's name for it is "partial internal transcribed spacer region". The stretch from base 1 to 46 matches the Rfam family "Eukaryotic small subunit ribosomal RNA", at positions 1786 to 1831 of the family's 1831-position model. RNAcentral also lists the same sequence under 1 other name. Lineage: Eukaryota; Fungi; Basidiomycota; Agaricomycetes; Agaricales; Psathyrellaceae. The record is from RNAcentral.
AAGUCGUAACAAGGUUUCCGUAGGUGAACCUGCGGAAGGAUCAUUAUUGAAUAAAUCUGGCGUGAGGUUGUAGCUGGCUCUCUGGAGCAUGUGCACACCUUCGUCACCUUUAUCUUUCCACCUGUGCACACACUGUAGUCCUGGAUACCUCUCGCCGCAAGGCGGAUGCAGAGCCUGCUGUGACUUUGGCAACAAAGACCAGUCUUGCUCUGAAUUUCCAGGGUCUACGAUCUUUACACACCCCUAAACGAAUGUCAUAGAAUGUAUAUCACUGGGCCUUUGUGCCUAUAAACCUUAUACAACUUUCAACAACGGAUCUCUUGGCUCUC